GCUAGUUACCAUCAUUAAGUUGGGGACGUCUAGCGAGACUGCCAGUGAUAAACUGGAGGAAGUGGGGGAUGACGUCAAAUCAUCAUGCCCCUUAUGACCUGGGCUACAAACGUGAUACAAUGGCUGGAACAAAGGGAAUGCGAAGCAGUGAUGUGGAGCGAAACCCAUAAAAACAGUCUCAGUUCGGAUUGAAGUCUGCAACUCGACUUCAUGAAGUCGGAAUCGCUAGUAAUCGCGGAUCAGAACGCCGCGGUGAAUACGUUCUCGGGGUUU
This 273-nucleotide ribosomal RNA is filed under the name uncultured Acholeplasma sp. RNAcentral's name for it is "partial 16S ribosomal RNA". It matches the Rfam family "Bacterial small subunit ribosomal RNA", at positions 1110 to 1382 of the family's 1533-position model. Lineage: Bacteria; Bacillati; Mycoplasmatota; Mollicutes; Acholeplasmatales; Acholeplasmataceae. The record is from RNAcentral.